Molecule: non-coding RNA, 21 nt
Filed under: Arabidopsis thaliana (thale cress)
Lineage: Eukaryota; Viridiplantae; Streptophyta; Magnoliopsida; Brassicales; Brassicaceae
Source: RNAcentral
GUCGCGUGGUGUCCGGUGCGC